AUGACCGGUACGUUUGCCAUCCUGCCAAGCGCAUGUGGACUGGACGUCCAGCUGGAGAGGUCGGCUCACCGGCUGUUGGACAGCAUCCUUCUGGACUGGAAGGGACAGGGAACAACCGAGAAGGUGAGGGCGCUGUGCUCUCGGACCAGAGACGACGAGCUCUGGGAGGGCAGGGUGGAGCUGAGGCAGCCUUUUACCCCGCCCCUUUCGCAUCUUCACCUCCGCGCACUCUCGCACACGCGCGCUGGAGGGCAGGGGAGCAGCCACCAGGCUUGGCUGUCCUGGAAUGACGGAAAGCCCAUGAAUGUUACUGUCACGGUGAACAGACAAUGGCAAGGCUCGUCCACCAGGGGGCAGGCUUGUCUUUCCAUGUCUCCUGGCCAGGUGCGAGCGGCGCUCCCCUUUGCGGAGCUGGAAGGGUGCGGCUCCGUGGCGCGGGAGGGGAACUCGUACUCCCAGACGGCAGAGCUGAAGUGGGGGGGCAGGCGCAUCACCCAGGCGAUGAAGUACCAGAGAGGCGCCAGGGGUGGACACACCCUGCAGCUGGAGGGGGGGGCCGACAACGUGUCCCCCCAGCCCUGUCCGUCCCACACCUUCCUCGCCCAGGUGCACACCAACGGCCGCGACCGGCUGGAGCACCACCUUCUCCUGGGCCUGUGCCCCCCACACCCGUCUUGGGCUGUGUCUGGGUACCACCGCGUCGGCACAGGCCAGGAGCUGCUCUACUCCCAGACGCGUCUCUCGGUGUCCGGUCAGUCCCAGUACAGCGGUCUGACCGUGGUCCUGACGAACACCUCCAUGCCUCUGCGCACCAACUUUUCCUUCCACACCGAGUUACAAGUUGGCGAUGGGGCUUUGGAGCUCGGGGGAAGUGUGUUCUCCUCCCGCCGGGGGGGUGGGCUUCAGGUGGGGGCUGUGCUCGACCGCAGCGAGCGCCUCUGGCUGCAGGGGGCGCUGGAGGGUCGCUGUGUGCAAGCAGCUGCAGGAUACAAUGACGGCGUACUGUCAGAUGACAACCUGACGGUGGCACUGUGUCUCGAGGGGCGUCGACACGUAAUACUGGAGGUCCAAAGGACAGAGGACGGAGUCAAGCCAGAGUCGCUGGCAUCCAUCUCUUUGAGGGCGGCCAAUCAAAGCCUGACGUUCACUGCACAAGCCUGCAUGGAAAGCCUGCAGGCAGCAGAGGCGAGAGCGUGUCUUCUGGGCUCACGUGUGAGGAAUAAACUGCUGGACAAAAUUCGAGUCCUGCAGCGCCUCCUGCUGGAGAUCAGACGCCAGGACAACGCUCUGCUGUGGGAGAUGAGCGAGAGGCCCCUGCGUUGGGCCCAGAAGGCCGAGGCGCUGCUGGUGCAGAGGGUCGCGGGAGCCUGGGCCGCGUGGAGGAAAGGCGUCCUGCGGCACUCCCUCACUAACCGCUUACCGCGGUGCCUCGAGUCCCUGCGCCACCUGUCCCAGCAGCUGCAGCAGGAGCUCAAGAGGCCGCUGGCCACCCUGGCGGGGGCCUACCAGGACGCGACCGGCCGACGGCUCGACGCCACUUGGAAAGAGACGGUGGUGCUUUGGUCUCGAAAGCUGGCGGAGCAACUGCCUGCAGUUCUGGAGGAGCACCAGCUGGGGGCGCCGCUGAGAGCGGCGCUGGGGGCGCUCACUGCCGCACUGGACCUGGUGAGUCAGCAGAUGGCACAGUGGGCGGAGUCCAGGUUGGGGGCGGCCCUCGUAGGGAUCAGAAGACGACUGGCAUCUCUCUACAAACUGUCACACGGCCGCUGCGAGGUGAGUGUCCAGCUGCCGUUACCGAGGGGCGCCUGGUCGGACGUGGGCGGGGCCGGGAUGGUGGAGUUCCUGCUGGACGAGUGGCUCCUGCGGCCCAUGGUGACCGUGGCAUCCCUGCGACCCGCCGCCGAGCUCUACCGCCUCAAGAGGAGGAUGAUGGAGAGUCCCUUCAACCACCAGGCUCUGCUGGUGUCUGACCAGUUCGCCCUGUCCUUCGACGGGCGCCUCUACGAGCUUCCCGGCCGCUGCCCCCUCCUCCUGGCCCGGGACCUCAUGGGCGGCUCCUUCACCAUGGUGCUCAGCCCCAAUACAGCGCCAGAGCGCACCCUGCUGGUGGAGAUGAGCAACACGACCGUGAGCAUUUCGCCCCACGGCCAGGUGGAGAUGAACUGCCGUGAGACAGACGAGAGCUUCAGUGACAGCGGCGUGUCGGUUAGGAGAGAUGGGGUACUCAUCCAAGUCUCCAAUCAGAACGGAGCGCUGCUGUCAUGUGACCUGUCGCAGGAGGUCUGCAGUUUGACGCUGGAUGGAUGGCAACAUGGUGUGUCUAUGGGGCUCCUGGGGACCAAUGACAAUGAAGCAGGAAAUGAGCUCACCCUCCCCGACGGCUCCCAGGCGGAUGGCGAGGACCACUUCCUCCAGAGCUGGCAGCUGAAGCCACACUGCCGCCGAGGCCCUUGUUCCAAUACCUCCAAGGCCGAAGCGACCUCCGACCUCCUCAGCUGCGCCUCCCUCUUCUCGGAUCUGGACUCCCCCCUCGGCUCAUGCUUCCGGGUGGUGAGUCACGCCCCACGCACACACACACACACACACACACACACACACACACUCACACGCACUCCAUAUUCUUCUUUCUGUUUUUUCUGGUUUUUCCCAUAA
Long non-coding RNA from Scleropages formosus (Asian bonytongue), 2652 nucleotides. Lineage: Eukaryota; Metazoa; Chordata; Actinopteri; Osteoglossiformes; Osteoglossidae. The record is from Ensembl.